UACAGAGGUCCCAAGCGUUGUUCGGAUUCACUGGGCGUAAAGGGUGCGUAGGUGGUCAGGUAAGUCCGAUGUGAAAUCUCCAGGCUCAACCUGGAAAUGGCAUUGGAUACUAUUGGCUUGAGGAGUGGAGGGGGGACUGGAAUUCUCGUGUAGCAGUGAAAUGCGUAGAUAUCGAGAGGAACACCAGUGGCGAAGGCGAGUCCUGGACACUUCCUGACACUGAGGCACGAAAGCUAGGGGAGCAAACAGG
This 250-nucleotide ribosomal RNA is filed under the name uncultured bacterium. Its description in RNAcentral is "partial 16S ribosomal RNA". It matches the Rfam family "Bacterial small subunit ribosomal RNA", at positions 524 to 776 of the family's 1533-position model. The record is from RNAcentral.